This is a non-coding RNA of Salmo salar (Atlantic salmon), 2750 nucleotides long. The record is from RefSeq and is a predicted model, not a curated record. Lineage: Eukaryota; Metazoa; Chordata; Actinopteri; Salmoniformes; Salmonidae.
AGUCAUUUACCAUUUCAUGAUAGUUCUCUCACAGAGAUAGGUUAAGUUCUUAUUUUGAGAGUGUUAACAUUUAUUAUCAAUGGCUUAUCGAGGAAGAAAAUCAAGUGAGUUUGACAAACUCCAGAAGGAGAACUCUCAGAUGAGGAGCGUCAUCGAAAACUUGAGGAAGCAAAACAUGGCUUUAAACCAACAGGAUGACCAGGACAGGUUUUCAAGUUUUGGCUAUCAGGAGAGCUACCCAAUCCCAGAGGGCCAUCGGGGCUUCAUCAGUGAUGCCAGACUUCUGCAGAUGCAGAGAGCUGAGAGAGAGGCCAUGGAAGGAAAGCAAAGAAAGAUAAGUGCUAUCCAUGAGAAUUAUGUCCGGACUGCUCUCAUCGGGGUUGGCAGCACCUUCGCGCACCACUUCGUCCCCUCUAUUCAGUGCAUUCCGCGGCCGAAAGCUCCACCGAGGCCUUUGCCACGAAGGCUUGAACACAUAGCUCUGGCCCCACUGAAGAACGUGGUGGGGGUGGACGGAGCCCAAGUUCGACCCGGAUCUCACUCUCUGGAGUCCAUCCAGGUAAAUAAGUCAUUCAGCAGCAGUAGCGUGCGGCCUGUUCCCGUCCCUCCCACUGGAGCUCCCUCCAAGAGGGGCAAGAAGAAGAAGGGCAGGCGGGGAGUCAAAGCCCUGAAAGUCCAGUUGGACCAGGGCUGUGCUGACAACAACGGACCCAUUGACCUGAUGGAGGAGGUGAGGGACAUCGAGGCUCACCUGAAGGAGGAGGCCUGGAAGGUGGUACAUGAGGUGAAGGCCAUGGGCAGGAGAAGUUUUGGCUCGGCCAUGUCCAUGGGGGAAAUAGCCACCAGCUCUCUGGGAAGCCUGAGCUCAGUGGAUAUGAACACCCCUGCGGAGCUCCGUGACUACUUGGAUGUUGGGACCCCGGUAAAGUCGCGUGACAGCCCACCCAGGCCUGCUCCCCCCCCUACCAAGCCCAGGAGCAAACUGCCUCGGCCUACAAGGUUCCUUAGCCUGCAAAAGGCUGACACCGGCUCAGUUCACAGAGAGAUAGAUGUCUGCUGUCAACCCAUAGACAAGAAGGCAGCCAGUGAGCCAAAGGGCCAAAUAAAGAAAAGUCAGGACCAGGCCAGAUUGCAGCCCCUGUCCAACCCAGAGCAGGCCCUGACUAAGACCUUCAAGCUGCUCCACUCUGCCUCUGAUGACUGGGAGAAGAAGAUCGAGGGCUUGACCUCUCUCCGUGUGAUGGCUCAGAACCACAUGGACAUACUGAUGCCUAAACUCCAUGAUAUCUGCCUUGCCAUUAUAAAUGAGGUGAAGAACCUGCGCUCUGCAGUGUCCUGUGCUGCCAUGGCCACACUGGGUGACAUGUACGUUCACCUCCAGAGGGCCAUGGACAGUGAGGUGGAGGGGACGGCACGCGUGCUGCUGCACAAAGCCAGCGAGGCCAACAACUUCAUCCGGCAGGCCGCCAACUUUGCCCUGGGUCACAUGGUGCAGAGCUGCACCCCUACCCGUGUCAUGAAUGCCCUGCUGGUCGGUGGGCUGAGCCACCGUAACGCUGCGGUGAGGAGCUGCACUGCUCAGCACCUGGAGAGACUGGCUGAGGUCAUGGGGAUGGCUCGUCUCCUGUCGGGGAAGAAAGACCUCACUGACCGUUUCUUGAUUGCCAGGUGUAUGGUGUUUUCUCCGACACAUUGGUGCAGCUGGCUUCCAGGUUAAGCGGGCUUUGUGUCAAGAAGUAGUACGGCUUGGCUGGGUUGUGUUUCGCAGGACGCACGGCUCUCGACCCUCUUGCAAAUUCGACCUAAUGCAUCAUGGUCGCAAUAUCUUGAGAAACGUGGCCCCCAAUGGCGACUUUGCUAAAAUGUGGGACAAAUUCGCUCCGAGGAAAGAGCGAGAAUCCUUGAGGGAGGUCAUCUCAAAGGUUAACCUCAAAGAAAGGUACAUUCUCUCUGGAUGAUUAGAAGAAGUAUGACAAAUGAGCUGAUAUGAUUACAGAACUCCAAUCCCACUGGGCACAGACAUCAGUUCAAUGUCUAGUUUUGAUUUAAAUUUGGGAAAUCAACCAAUGUGAAAUUAACCAAAAAUGUUGGUUAAAAGUUGGGUGAAAAAAAUCCAAUUGUGUUUUCCACAUUGAUUCACCGUCAUCACAUAGAUUUUUUUGUUGUUGUUGAAAUGAGGUGGAAACAACGUUUAUUCAACCAGUUUUGGCCCAAUGGGAUGAAUUUAAUAUACUGUAAGAUUAUAUCUUUCUGUCUUUUCUCUUUUUCAACAGGAAUAUCUGAAUAAUCCCCAACUUGACUAUAUGUUUGUAUCUAAAUAUUUGCACAUUUCCCAACUUGACUAUUAUCGCCUCCAGUCCCCAAACUCUAAUAUUUUCGCUCAUUCUAAGAAAUUUGACACUAUCAUCCAAACCCCCAUGUAAAUGCAUCUUUAAGCUGCAUCGACUCCCUGUCCAAGUCCUGAAUUCACUAUAAGGCAAUAUGAACCACAUUCAAAGCACUAAAUGACCUUUCCUCGAAGCUCCUAUCUGAUCUACCAGCUCAAUAGUGGUCUACUGAAACCAUACUCACCAUCUCAGGGGGUGCUCAGAUCAUCAACCACUGACCUCCACACCAUCCUCAAAACCAGCAGUCCUCUUUUGGAGGCAGAUUGGUCAGUGCUCCUGUAUGGCACCAACAUUGUGGAUUUUCAUCCAAUGCUUCUGGACUAUGAGAACAUUCUUUGGACAAUAAAAUUAGGUAAAAUGGAA